Long non-coding RNA from Entelurus aequoreus (snake pipefish), 615 nucleotides. RefSeq lists it as uncharacterized. The transcript has 3 exons. NCBI's taxonomy places the organism in Eukaryota, Metazoa, Chordata, Actinopteri, Syngnathiformes, Syngnathidae. The record is from RefSeq and is a predicted model, not a curated record.
AGGGUAUAUGUGUACAAAAUAUUUUUUUUUGACACUUUGGAACAGCAAACAGUAGAAACAUCUAAGCCUAAGCAGCAAUACCUACAAAGGCAAAGAGCAACAAUUCAGAUUCAAAGAAUGACUAAAACAUUGACCAAAGUCUUAAAUGUCAAACUGUCAUCAAGGAGAAGUCCAGAGAGAACAGUCAAAGCAACCAAAGCUGCAGAGAUAAUCCACCAGAGACUUCAUCCCUCCUCUCUGACAUACACACAUCAGCAAGUGAUCACAUUUGACACUCAACAUACGCACACUCAAUAAAGACAGCAUACAUACAUAUAUAUACAUACAUACAUAAAAUACGAGCUUUUUUAAUAUAUAUUUCUUUACAAAAGCAGACAUGAGCCAGAAACAAGCCUGCAUCUUCCUCAAAGGGGCGUCGAGGAGACAAGUCACAUUUCAAGGAAUUACAAGCAAACUAUUCAAAGAGACAAGCUAAAAGUUCAACUUAAUGCAUUUUUUGCAGAAAUAUGGUGUUGUGUUUAUGGCAAAAUUUGUGUAUUAAAAUGGGGAAAUAAUAAUAAAAACAAAUGCAAAUCUAUGAUACAUAUAUAUGUGUAUAUGUAUUAUUAUUAUUAU